AAAUUCAGUACCACAUUUCCAGACACUAUCUCUGAUUAUAAACUUUGUGAACUGCCCAGGGGCGCUGCACAAGAUGCCGGGCCCUUAUGCAAAGGCAGUCCUAAUUCUUCCUUUGGGGCCCUGGUAAUCAGUACUGGUUUUACUCCCAGUCCGACGCCCCUGGAGCUGCCAUCCUACAUCAGUGUAAACUGGUUGUCUGGUGUUAGCUGGUCUGCCAGCUAGCUUUAGAGGGUUUCUGGGUAAUUUUCACACAGUCAGGGUCACAGUUUUCAUUGCAGUAUGUUAUAAGGAAUGUUAAAUAAAGAUAAAUAAAGAGUAAUGAUAGGACAAAUAAAUAUAAAUAGAACAAAAAUACAAAUUAGUUCUUCAAGUCUAACAGCUGUAUCCAGGAACAAAAUACUAUGAUGUAUAAAUUAGAUUUAGAAUUAUACUUAUUAAAGCUAAAUAAAUUUUUCAGUUGAGCAGAGUAAUGCAUUUUUUUAUUUACUUUAUUUUAUUAUUUACCGUUAAUGACAUAAGACAGCUUGUCACAUCUUAACACCCUUGUAUGGUUUAAAAUAUUUUGAAUGCUUAAACUGACAAUACAAACGCUCUGUAGGUUUUGUUUGUUUGUUUGUUUGUUUAUUUGUUUGUUUUUUUAUGUUAAAUGGUGAAAAGCAUGACCUCUCUCAAAAUAUGGAGCUACUGAAUUCCGCUGUCUGCCAACAGGUGUGUCUGAUUUGAAGUGGCGCUGCACAGACUGAUUGGUGUAUGAGAGGGGUUCUCAACUCUGGCCCUCCAGAUCCAGUGUUUAGCUUCAGCCCUAAUCAAACACACAUGAACCACUUAUCAGGGUCUUCAGCAUUAUUAGUGUAAGAUCUCAGUCUCCCUCUAGUGUCGGUCAACAGAAGAACAGCAGUCAGACAUCAGAGCAGAACCAGAGUGACCCGGGAAACAACACACUGCUGUCUGGAACUGCUCAUAUUUAUGAUUCUGUUGAUGCAACCAUUAAGAAAGACAUAAGUACAGACAGUAAAAGUGGGCCUAAUGAUCUCACCUAUGCUGAGAUUGAACACAAAUCUACUAAAAAACAGAUGGAAAAGAAAGAAAACAAAGGGAAAAACACUGAGAGUUGUGACAUCGUUUACUCUAAACUGAAGUUGGAAAUGGAUCAAGGUGCUGGAUCUGGUGAUGUGACGUAUGCUCAGGUUAAAUAAAUGCCUGGAGGAGAAACUUUCAAUCCAAGGGUACUGAUGAGUUUAGGUUGAGAAGGGCUGGAGAAUGACCAGGAUCAUCAAUGCUUUAUCAUCUUUGUGUUAUUGAGCACUUGAUGGCAAUGUAUUUAACAAUACUUAAUAUAUAUGAGUGAUGCUUCCUUCAUGUUCUGAUUAAAGGAAACAGAACAUUUUCAUUUAUUUCUGCACAGUAUAAAAAUAUGACCCAAUGUUUUGUUAAUAUGAAUUUUCCCAGGUGUUUUACCCAUAUUUUGAAUUUAAAUUUGCAUUCCAUUGCUUUGCUUCUGUUGUUAUAUGUGUGUGUGUGUGUGUGUGUGUGUGUGUGUGUGUGUGUGUGUUAAAUAUUCCAGUUUAGAUGUUUUUGUUGUAGUUGGACUGUAGGUUUACUUUGGGCAUUUGGAACCAAAGCUUGCAUCUUUACAACUGUAAUUGUCUGUGUGUACUUAUGAUUUAUAUUAGAUGUGUUUUAAAAAUAAACAUAUAUUAAACAUACAUUAAACGGUGUGUUUACACUGGAGCGGACUGAGUGGAGCAGAGUGGGCAUUUUUCAAUUGAUUCCUAUGAAAGUCAUUGCUCACACAGUGAAUUAUGAUAUUGACAGUGGAAUGGAGAAAGUGUUGAGAGAGUCCAGAAUUUGAGAAAUGCUCAACUUCAUGCAAAUGAGGAGUGAAAAAUACCGUCCAAGCAGAAAAUACCUGGAGGUUCAGACACAGCUGCUACCAUCUUGCAGUUAUCUCAGUUAUUGAUUGUUGGGUAAAUGAGCUCAACGUAAAAGGAGAGGAGAGAUGUCACUUCUCAGUGAUUCGUCUCACUUCAUUCACUUCCUUCAGAUAUUGCUUUUUUUCUCAUAACAUCAGCAGCUCCCCUACGCCUAUGAAGAGGAGCGCAAGUGUUAACGUUCUCCCUCUGGCCCUGCUUCUGGUCCUCAAGCCACCAUGAUGGUCUUUAUAUUGUUUAUUUCUUUACACCUUAUAAGAUUAUUUUCAUGAUCUUGUAUUUGUUAUUUGAUGCUAUGUGUGCUUUUCCACUACACAGUACCAGCUCAACUCAACUCGACUCACCUUUGUUUGGUUUUCCACUGUGUAAAAGUUUUACCUGUACCUGCUUCCAGGUACGACCAGGUGACGACCAGGUGCUUUUGUGGAGGUAUAUCUGCAAUGGAAAAUGGAGCAAAAA
Molecule: long non-coding RNA, 2390 nt
Organism: Carassius gibelio (silver crucian carp)
Lineage: Eukaryota; Metazoa; Chordata; Actinopteri; Cypriniformes; Cyprinidae
Exons: 7
Source: RefSeq, a predicted model, not a curated record